UGUUUUUAUUUUUUCUGUUUGUUUGUGUUUUGCUAGGGUUUUGCUUUUUUAUUUCUCAGUUUUUCAGUUGAUAAUGGUGAUUUUUGAUUUGCAGAAUUCUCACUAUGUUGACGAUGGAUCAACGCAUGCGAUGAUUCUGUUUAAUAUUCUCUUUUAUGGUAUUUGUGGCUGGAAAAACUCAAGAUAGCCUUUUCCUUCAAAAACAGCUCAUAGGUUUUUUGUUCCAAUAACUGAUGAUGCAGACACGCAACAUAUGGAUCUGAUAAAAAAAAUUUUUUGUUUGUUUUCUAUUUUUAUUUUUAUUUUCUUUUAUGGUCUCUGCAAUGUUCCAUUAUCAGUACUAGACUCAAGAGAAAAAAACUAAAAGUCCCCUGAUCAACUCCUAGAUCCCCGGAAACCAGCAUUUUACCUGUACCAAAUGUGCAAGUUUCUUCUCUUACCGUGCUCCGGUGAGAACAUUAUAAUCCAAACAUCAAAUGGUCCAGUUUCUUCUUCUUACCUCAUACGAUGAGAAAUGAGGACAAUAUAAUCAAAGAUCAGCAGAAGAAGUAUUUAUAAGAGAAUAAGACAUGGAAUAAUUCUAUAUUUUGUCGUUGAUGUUGAAGAUUGUUUACGCGGUGCGAUGUUUUACGGUAGUGCGAUGUUUUGUGGUUAUACAUGAUGAAGAAAUAUUCACGAUCUUGAUUCCACAAGCGUGUAUUGGUGUUGAUGGCUGCGUCAACGGGAGGUCAUGAGGAUCGAUAAUAUUUUUUGGAGCUUCGUGGUGAUGAGAAUUGAUUUAUGCAUGCAAGGUAUAAAAUAGUGAAAUUAUCUUUUUUAGCGUUCUUAGGAUUUUUUUUGUUGAUUUUCUAUGUUGUAGUUGUUGGUGAUGCUGUUAUGCGAGUACAACUGAACUAGGUGCUCUAACUUCUUAAUUUAGGUUCUUAGUUAUCGGGUUAGAUAUCAAGGAGUUCGAUUAUAUUUAUGUUUCAGGUUGUAAACUCUAUAUGGCACCAUGAACUAAUACUUGAUCCGUGUUGGGUGCAAAAUUACCAAAAAAAAGAAGAGGGAGGAUACCGCAAUCUUUAGAGCCACUAAUUAUUGUUGUAGAACAUUGCUGAUAACUGCAUUCCUCGAGUGUUUGAUUUACCAUCCAUUAAAUUAAACUUAUAGGUUAGCGACGCUUUUUUGUUGAUAACAUCUGCGCGUUUGAAUGGUUUUGUGAUGUGGGUUAAAUUUUACUUUUCGUAAAUGCGUAAGACAUCAGAUUCCCAUCAAAUAAAACUGAACGGGGAAUUUUGAAAAGAAUUUUGUGUCCAUUUUGUUUGUUAAUCUUAGUCGCGUGUUCUUUUGAAAAGAUUCUUGAUCCAUGCAUGAUUAGUACGGUGAUAAUUGCGUGUAUUUAACCUGGAAGUCAUUUUUUCAUUUUUACUUUGGCCUCUAAAAUCCAAGCUUAGAAGGAUAAGAACUGGAACGGUGUAACCUUCAAUCCAUUUUUGGAGCUUCAAUGAAUACUAUACACUCUAAAUACGUUGUAUUUCUAAUUUAUUUGCAUAGAACAUAAAAGUUGCAUCAUUUAUCAAGGCCUGCAGAGCAUGAUACCAAGUGUAAAUACCAUCAUUUAAUCAUAGACGAUACCAGAUGACGAUACCUAGUGCAUAUGCUCCUAAUACGGUAGUUUCAAGGAAAAAGUGCCAUUUAUCCACCACAGAUGAGAACAUGGGGAACUUAAAUUUAGCUAUGGGUCAAUUUAAAUGGGUCAAUUCUAUCGGAUUGUCUGUAUCUGUACAGAAAGAUUUUUGAAUUUUAGAAAGUGCUCAUAAGGUCUGAACUUUAUCGAGAAAUUAGUUAGUGCACUUGCACGGGAUGUACAUGUGCGCAUAUUGGUGCUUGACAGCGUGUUGCUGGGAUUUUUUCAAGUGCGCUUGCUUGGGUUAUGGAUUUUUCUACAAAAAUGUAACAAAUAUC
Papaver somniferum (opium poppy) is the source of this 1947-nucleotide long non-coding RNA. RefSeq lists it as uncharacterized. The record is from RefSeq and is a predicted model, not a curated record. The transcript has 3 exons. NCBI's taxonomy places the organism in Eukaryota, Viridiplantae, Streptophyta, Magnoliopsida, Ranunculales, Papaveraceae.